This 268-nucleotide ribosomal RNA is filed under the name uncultured bacterium. RNAcentral describes it as "partial 16S ribosomal RNA". It matches the Rfam family "Bacterial small subunit ribosomal RNA", at positions 524 to 776 of the family's 1533-position model. The record is from RNAcentral.
UACGUAGGUGGCAAGCGUUGUCCGGAUUUACUGGGCGUAAAGCGUAUGUAGGCGGAUUUUUAAGUAGGAAGUGAAAAGGUUCGAGCUCAACUCGGACACUGCUCCCUAUACUGGAAGUCUUGAGGGCCGGAGAGGAAAGCGGAACGACACGUGUAGCGGUGAAAUGCGUUGAUAUGUGUCGGAACACCAAUGGCGAAGGCAGCUUUCUGGACGGUAGGUUUACCUUUAAAUCUGACGCUGAGAUACGAAAGCCGAGGUAGCGAACAGG